GCAUAUACAUGAACAGGUGGGCACAGGGAGGUAGUGGAGGGUCUAGUACAUAUACAUGAACAGGUGGGCACAGGGAGGUAGUGGAGGGUCUAAUGCAUAUACAUGAACAGGUGGGCACAGGGAGGUAGUGGAGGGUCUAGUACAUAUACAUGAACAGGUGGGCACAGGGAGGUAGUGGAGGGUCUAGUGCAUAUACAUGAACAGGUGGGCACAGGGAGGUAGUGGAGGGUCUAAUGCAUAUACAUGAACAGGUGGGCACAGGGAGGUAGUGGAGGGUCUAGUACAUAUACAUGAACAGGUGGGCACAGGGAGGUAGUGGGGGGUCUAAUGCAUAUACAUGAAC
Dreissena polymorpha is the source of this 343-nucleotide long non-coding RNA. RefSeq lists it as uncharacterized. The transcript is spliced from 3 exons. NCBI's taxonomy places the organism in Eukaryota, Metazoa, Mollusca, Bivalvia, Myida, Dreissenidae. The record is from RefSeq and is a predicted model, not a curated record.